This 203-nucleotide long non-coding RNA is filed under the name Elaeis guineensis (African oil palm). RNAcentral's name for it is "long non-coding RNA (EGUI_LNC060474)". Lineage: Eukaryota; Viridiplantae; Streptophyta; Magnoliopsida; Arecales; Arecaceae. The record is from RNAcentral.
AGCGUCUGACAUGCAUGCGAAGUAGAGAGUCUGCAUAUCCAGACCUCUGCGAAGGUUUAUAUUAGAUAAUUUGGAAUUUGAUCCCUGGUUCUACUAUGAUUCAAAUAAGGAUUUGAUCUUUAAACAAGUAGAAUAUUAGAGAAAAUUUUUAGAUGUAACCUGGGCAUUCUAGUUUAACUUGAUAAGUUGGUCACUCUUAAUUG